RNAcentral lists this ribosomal RNA (468 nucleotides) under uncultured bacterium. RNAcentral's name for it is "partial 16S ribosomal RNA". It matches the Rfam family "Bacterial small subunit ribosomal RNA", at positions 28 to 507 of the family's 1533-position model. The record is from RNAcentral.
GACGAACGCUGGCGGCGUGCUUAACACAUGCAAGUCGAACGGAAAGGCCCUGCUUUUGUGGGGUGCUCGAGUGGCGAACGGGUGAGUAACACGUGAGUAACCUGCCCUUGACUUUGGGAUAACUUCAGGAAACUGGGGCUAAUACCGGAUAGGAGCUCCUGCUGCAUGGUGGGGGUUGGAAAGUUUCGGCGGUUGGGGAUGGACUCGCGGCUUAUCAGCUUGUUGGUGGGGUAGUGGCUUACCAAGGCUUUGACGGGUAGCCGGCCUGAGAGGGUGACCGGCCACAUUGGGACUGGGGUACCGCCCAGACUCCUACGGGAGGCAGGAGUGGGGAAUAUUGCACAAUGGGCGGAAGCCUGAUGCAGCAACGCCGCGUGCGGGAUGACGGCCUUCGGGUUGUAAACCGCUUUCGCCUGUGACGAAGCGUGAGUGACGGUAAUGGGUAAAGAAGCACCGGCUAACUACGUG